ACACAGAACAGCAGAGAAGGCCUUUAGUGCCAGCAAGAGGUUUUCAAAGCAGUGGGUGAAGCAGGGCUGGGAUGUGCCCUCUUGGAGUGGAGUGAACUCUUGGAGCUGCAGCAAGACCAUGGAUGCAGAUGCACCAUUGGCUGUGGACAGGCAGCACUCCCCAUGCACGAUGGAAACACGUCCCCAAGGUGCCCAGGACAGAAGGACUGUGAAGGUGAGAAGAAGAGUGGCAGCAUCAAGAAGCACAUGCAGCAUCAUGGGGCUCACCAAGGGGAAAUCUUCCAUACCCAGUCUAAUAGCCUUCCACAAUGAAAUGACUUGCUGUGUAGAUGAGAGAGCAGUGAGUGCUGUCUACCUUGACUUCAGCAAGGCUCUUGACACAGUUCCCUCUAACAUCCUCAUAGGUAAGCACAGGAAGCAUCCGUUGAUACUGUUGCUUGUCUGUUUUCUGGAGAAAAUGCACAGGACACAGUUAUCAAAGCACAGAGUGUCAGGGCAAGGUGUGCAGCACAACCAGGCAUUCUGUACGGGAUGCUGUGAGAAUAAAUAACUUCAAGAAAUUUUGGAGAGCCUUUUUGCUGGUCUUCUUCUCCACAAAAUUGUGCAGCCCAAUCCAAGAGGGCAAACCCCCUGCCAGUAAGAGAAUGAUAUACUCUGAAAGGGCCUGCAGAGUUCAGGAACAUCUUAGUUACUUAAGCAAGCUCCUGCAUCGCCCACAAGCUUUUCAGCAGCUGAAGGGGAGCACAAACUUUUGCAGCAAAGCAUCUACAAAUCUUACUCUCUGCUGGGACAAUCUCCCCAGACUCUCCACCAUGGUGCUCAGAUUCACGGUGCAAAGCAACAGCUCUUAAUCCAGUCCUUCGGCAUCAGAGGAAGAAAUUACCUUAUCCCUAUUGGAAAGGAUUUCCUAGUAGAGUAAGUGUCUCAAACCUCUUGCUACAAACUCAGUGAAUAUGUCAGUAAAAAUACGUGCCAGUAUGGAAAUGCUGAUCAGAGCUGGAGUUCUGAAAUAAUAUUUCUGGAUUAACACAAGCUCUCAAAAUAAAAUAUAUAUAUAUAUAUAUAUAUUAUGUGCUUAACAAGUUACCUGUCAUCUGAUAGGUUAUGAUGGCAAAAAUCUUCCAGAAUUGAGUUGACCUUAAUGCAUAAAUGUAGAAAGCAGUGUAGGGGAGACACGGUGAAAUUGCAAGCUUUUUGUGACUGUUUGCUCUCAAAACACUGUGACUGGUUCUACACCUGAAAGCCACUAAAUGUAUUUGUUGUUUGAUAUUUUUUAAGUGCCGUUAUGCCUGAGAGGUGUUAAUGGCUCAUCCAUUAGUUGUGACCCAGACUUCACAGCUUCACCCCUGACUUCAUUAGAGCGAUUGUGUGGGUUAAUGCACUCUACUUUUAUCUGGCAGUUAGACCUCCCAGGUUCGUUUGUAUCAAAGCUGCUGUACAAAGGAAGGGUCCCCUUUGAAGAAUCAUGGCCUUGCAGAAGAAUCUUUGAGCUGAGGACAAUUCCUAAGGGGAAGGAUGGGGUAAGAAAGAAAACCUUGUUUUGGUGUGCAGAAAGUAACACGAACUGCAGAGAUGCACAGUGUUUGGAAGUGGUCACAUCUCACAGAAAAUCAAGUUCUAUCAUGGUUUCUGCAAGAGGUUUGUCAGUGUUUCUCAAAUGACAAAAAGAUACUACUACCAUCCCCUGCAGUAGAAAAGAUGGUAUACAGCAUCAUCUUCAGUGCAGAAAUACAACAGGAAUCUGGAAUUUAUGGACUAAAAUAACUGUAACCUUCAGGCACCACACAGCAGGUAGCUUUGGAAUGCCAAGUUAAUGGCAUGCAGAGCACAAGGCUGGCUAAUGUACACACUAGCGCUGCAAGAGCCUACAUGCACCGAUUCCUGUGACCCGGGAGAAGAUGCCUUACAAAUCACAGUGUGGUCCCAGGGAUGUGGAGUGCUGAGCUCACCAUAUAAGGCAAGCACACAGAAAGGUCAUGGGGGAAGGAAAUGAAUUAGGCAUCCUGGCUCAUCUGCAGACAUCUGUGUAGUCACAACAUCUCUGAAAUAUUCCCCCUAUGGCAAACCAUCCACAGUAUUGGAAGAGGAAAUUUGUCUUGUUGAUUAUAUGUUUAACUUCUUUUUUAGUCAUGCUUUAGCAUAAUCAAAUAGCAUAGCUUCCUAUCAACUUUCAUGGGCAGCAUAGUGACAGAAGCAGUAAUCCAUCUCUUCACAUCAGAUCCGCAUCCUCAACAAGCCCUGAGCAUAGUUACAGACACAUAUCCCACAGAGACCCAAAGGACACCAAGAAUGGAAGGAGAAAAUGAAGACAACUGCUCUCCCUUUUUUAAAAACAUUCUGAGCACAUGAAAAUGUGUACCCUUAAACUAGAUUUGUGGUAGCUGCUUGAAAAAUGCAUAUAAAAUUCUCCAUGUGAGAGAAAGCACUUUAAUAAAGAAAUAUUGCAUUGUUGAACUCACUGUCCCCAAACGAACAACGUGGAGAGUUCUUGCAUUUAAGGAAAACAGAAAUGUGGUGACCCCGUUGCCCAGUGGUAAAUUCAGCAAUUGAAGGAGUUGAAGCACAUCCCUGAUUUUGUACCCAAAUCCCAGAAGGCAGCGAGCAGAGCAGCACAUCCUGUGGAUAUGUCUUGGAGAUAGGUAUGUGACUGCUGCUGUGCUGUAAGUCGGGGCACAGCAAUGCAUUGUGCUUAGCAUUUUGCUCCUGGGUCUGCUUUCCACUCGACUCUGGUCAUGUAUACACACGUCAAGAAAGUAUACGAAUAUAACCAUAUCACAUUUUAUUUCUAAUGUAUACUAGAGACUUUGUUUCACGCAUUGCAGUGUAAAUGUUAAUACCACUUACAGAACAAUUUAAUAGGGACCUUAAUUUCACUUUCAAGACUAGAACUGGGAGGACGGGAGUUAGAUUGUGGCUUAAAGAUAAGCAGUCUUCCAGGAAGCAUGAGAAAAAUACAACUUAAGAAAAGUGAACUGUAUCAACAUUUUGUGGGCUAAUGAAAGGCUGCUCCACAGGAGGACUCUCAUCCAUGGUAAAUCAAGGCAGGUGCCAUGGCUGUCCCAUGCUCAGGGGCUUGCUGAGAGCCCAGGAGCCAUGGUCCAACUGUACAUGUCUCCUAAGCUGCUUCCCAUCAGCCUUGCCCACAUCAGACUCACAUUGCUGCAGCACACCUAGCAAGGGAUUUUCUGUAACAAAGUGGGGGAGGAGGUAUUACACCUAGAUUAUGUUACUGUUCAGGGAGGAAGUUGAUAACUGCACAAGGAAACUUUCUUCUUGGUAUUGCUAGAAAGAUGCCCAAGAUGCAGUAUUACCCCUGAGGACCGCAAACUAUUCAGGACCACGCGUAGCUCUGCUAUGAAUUAUUCUCUGUAAAUAUCUACUAUAUUUAACCAAAAGAAAAACCUGAAAUGGGAAAAAAAAGAGCAGCAUACAACAUAUUUGCCAGCAGCCAUGGGAAAUAGGAACCAAAAAUAAAAAAAUUAACCCAGAGCCAAGUAAUAGAUUGCUAAUUAAGUUCUUGUGUUUAUUUACCGAAUAGAUGAUAAGUUAACCAAUAUAUGCCUGACCUUUUUAGUCAUAUUUCUAGCUAGGAAAGUCAUGGCUAUUAACUGCUACCAGGGUGCCAUGGGAUUCGUGUUCAGAGGCUUCCUUUUCACUUUGUUGUUGUAGCCUCUCAUCUUUUACUGACAUUACACACCACUCAUCACGAUCAGUGUCAGAAGCUAUAACAGCAUCUGUUGCAGUGGCAGCUUCUGCUGGAUGAAGAGUCUCCCUCUUUACCUUAAAUAGUGUCAAUCAUUUUUCAUUUUCAGCAUUCAGACUUGCUCAUCAGGUAGUAACAACACUUCCAGCUACACCAAACGUGAUUUUUGAAUAAACACUGGACUGAGAUCAUUGGAAAUGAUUGACAGCUUAUAAACCAUGCUUUUCAGAAACCAGCAAGGAAAGGGAAAAAAAAAUAAUAAAAAAAUAUUUCCCUCCUUC
Gallus gallus (chicken) is the source of this 3984-nucleotide long non-coding RNA. RefSeq lists it as uncharacterized. The record is from RefSeq and is a predicted model, not a curated record. The transcript has 2 exons. Lineage: Eukaryota; Metazoa; Chordata; Aves; Galliformes; Phasianidae.